This 525-nucleotide long non-coding RNA is filed under the name Mus pahari (shrew mouse). RNAcentral's name for it is "lncRNA (MGP_PahariEiJ_G0004372.1)". Lineage: Eukaryota; Metazoa; Chordata; Mammalia; Rodentia; Muridae. The record is from RNAcentral.
CCCAAGAUACCUGCUUUGUUUUAUUUAAGAUUUAAUUUUAUUAUUUUUAAUUAUGUUGUAAGACUCUGGCAAGCCUUAACUUUCCCGAGGAGAUCCCUGUCCCCGUCCCCCAUCCCCCGUCCCAAGUGAACAAGGCAGAGCUGGGGAAUCAAUGCAAAAGCAAGAGGAAUUUUAUUGUCCCAGCAUGCUGGGGUAGGUAGCCCUGCAUACGAAGGAGAGAGAGCACAACCCCACACAGCCCAUUUGGUAACCACGCAACUGAGACAAAAAGAAGACAGAAGUGUUGUACCCGCCUUCAGUUGUCUCAGAUCACCAGAUCUGUCACCAGAGAGGCUCCAGGUCAUCACGGAUGAAAGAAGACUUUGCUCCGUGUCAGUCACCUUCAGACAGAAGCUCUGUGUUCUCAGGCACUCCCUGAAAGAAGGGUGACCGAAACUCACGGCAAAGUCAGCAGACUUUAUUUGCUUGGGUCACCGUGAAAGUCCAGAGGCAAUAGCUUCAGGAGGGACUGGAUCUAGUAGCUCA